RNAcentral lists this unclassified non-coding RNA (326 nucleotides) under Hevea brasiliensis (rubber tree). The record is from RNAcentral. Lineage: Eukaryota; Viridiplantae; Streptophyta; Magnoliopsida; Malpighiales; Euphorbiaceae.
GCCCCAACGUUUAUAUCAUUUGAUGCCAGAAUAAGAAUAAUCACUAAUGUAGAGGGGAUUAAACAGAAAUUUAAGGUGAGCCAUAAGCCACUGCAUCAUCAAAAUUAAUAAUAAAACGAGGUCAUGUACACUACAAUAAACGUUAGAAUUACAAGUAAAAAUUUUAUAGCAACAUUAAUUUUUUUUAUCAUAUAUCUAGCAUACAGCUGCAUAGAUAGCAACAAUAUAAAUAAUUAGUGUUAAUGGUAUAUAAAAAAAUGUCAAUAAUUAUUAAUUUGUUGUUCAUUAUUGUCAAAGGUAAUAAUAAUUGUUAAUAUCAAUAACUU